This 687-nucleotide long non-coding RNA is filed under the name Oryctolagus cuniculus (rabbit). RNAcentral describes it as "lncRNA (ENSOCUG00000030926.1)". Lineage: Eukaryota; Metazoa; Chordata; Mammalia; Lagomorpha; Leporidae. The record is from RNAcentral.
AUGGGGCCAGCAGCCCCAUUCCCAAGACAAGACCUUGGCCAGUGCAAAAGCUGUCCAUCAAAAGACAAAAUACGUCCCCUAGGAAUGGAACACUGCAAGACCAUCUCUGGCAUCACUGAAAAAAAAGGAAAUACUAUUCUUCAAACAAUGACAGAAGAGAUGGAAAACUGUGAACUACAACAUGGAUGAAAUGCUUGCCUCUAAGUAUGACAAACAAAAUCCCUACCAGUCUCCCUGCAGAUAACACGUGUCAGUCUUGGACACAGCAUGAAGAGAAACUGCCUGCAGCUACUGGUGGGUGAGUGUGAGCAUAAAAACUCUAGUGGGUGCCUGUAUUUUCCAAGAGGAUUUAAAAAUAUGAAGCUAUAGGGGCUUUUGCUUUUAGUGUAGGGUGACCCGUAGAUGAUGUAGGAUGAGCAAGGAUGGUGCAGCAUAUAUGGACAACAGCCACGGUCUUCCUAGCCAGGAAGAGUGAGCUUGAGAAAUUUAAAAAACAAAUUGACAAAAUUGGGACACUUGAUCAGAGAAAGAGGCAAAGAAGGGUAUCUCUCAAAUCUAUCUAUCCUCAUCUCUGACUCCUGAAAUAUGCAUGUGUAGGGUAAACUGAAAACAGCAUAGCCUGAGAUAACCGAUCUGAACUAAGAGCCAAGCAACUUCUUAAGGAAUAAAGGUUGAAACUCAGCCUCA